CCUUGACAUACUAAGAACUUUCCAGAGAUGGAUUGGUGCCUUCGGGAACUUAGAUACAGGUGCUGCAUGGCUGUCGUCAGCUCGUGUCGUGAGAUGUUGGGUUAAGUCCCGNAACGAGCGCAACCCUUUUCCUUAUUUGCCAGCGGGUCAUGCCGGGAACUUUUAAGGAUACUGCCAGUGACAAACUGGAGGAAGGCGGGGACGACGUCAAGUCAUCAUGGCCCUUACGGCCAGGGCUACACACGUGCUACAAUGGUCGGUACAAAGGGUUGCUACCUCGCGAGAGGAUGCUAAUCUCAAAAAGCCGAUCGUAGUCCGGAUCGCAGUCUGCAACUCGACUGCGUGAAGUCGGAAUCGCUAGUAAUCGCGGAUCAGAAUGCCGCGGUGAAUACGUUCCCGGGCCUUGUACACACCGCCCGUCACACCAUGGGAGUUUGUUGCACCAGAAGUAGGUAGUCUAACCGCAAGGAGGACGCUUACCACGGUGUGGCCGAUGACUGGGGUGAAGUCGUAACAAGGUAAGCGUAGAUGA
RNAcentral lists this ribosomal RNA (532 nucleotides) under uncultured bacterium. Its description in RNAcentral is "bacterial SSU rRNA". It matches the Rfam family "Bacterial small subunit ribosomal RNA", at positions 979 to 1509 of the family's 1533-position model. The record is from RNAcentral.